UGCGGAAGGAUCAUUACCGAGUGUAGGGUUCCUAGCGAGCCCAACCUCCCACCCGUGUUUACUGUACCUUAGUUGCUUCGGCGGGCCCGCCAUUCAUGGCCGCCGGGGGCUCUCAGCCCCGGGCCCGCGCCCGCCGGAGACACCACGAACUCUGUCUGAUCUAGUGAAGUCUGAGUUGAUUGUAUCGCAAUCAGUUAAAACUUUCAACAAUGGAUCUCUUGGUUCCGGCAUCGAUGAAGAACGCAGCGAAAUGCGAUAACUAGUGUGAAUUGCAGAAUUCCGUGAAUCAUCGAGUCUUUGAACGCACAUUGCGCCCCCUGGUAUUCCGGGGGGCAUGCCUGUCCGAGCGUCAUUGCUGCCCAUCAAGCACGGCUUGUGUGUUGGGUCGUCGUCCCCUCUCCGGGGGGGACGGGCCCCAAAGGCAGCGGCGGCACCGCGUCCGAUCCUCGAGCGUAUGGGGCUUUGUCACCCGCUCUGUAGGCCCGGCCGGCGCUUGCCGAACGCAAAUCAAUCUUUUUCCAGGUUGACCUCGGAUCAGGUAGGGAUACCCGCUGAACUUAAGCAUAUCAAUAAGCGG
Molecule: ribosomal RNA, 577 nt
Filed under: Aspergillus flavus
Lineage: Eukaryota; Fungi; Ascomycota; Eurotiomycetes; Eurotiales; Aspergillaceae
Description: eukaryotic LSU rRNA
Rfam family: 5.8S ribosomal RNA (bases 199-352)
Source: RNAcentral